CAUUAAGCACUCCGCCUGGGGAGUACGACCGCAAGGUUGAAACUCAAAGGAAUUGACGGGGGCCCGCACAAGCGGUGGAGCAUGUGGUUUAAUUCGAAGCAACGCGAAGAACCUUACCAGGUCUUGACAUCCUUUGACCACUCUAGAGAUAGAGCUUCCCCUUCGGGGGCAAAGUGACAGGUGGUGCAUGGUUGUCGUCAGCUCGUGUCGUGAGAUGUUGGGUUAAGUCCCGCAACGAGCGCAACCCUUAUUGUUAGUUGCCAUCAUUUAGUUGGGCACUCUAGCAAGACUGCCGGUGACAAACCGGAGGAAGGUGGGGAUGACGUCAAAUCAUCAUGCCCCUUAUGACCUGGGCUACACACGUGCUACAAUGGGAAGUACAACGAGUCGCGAAGUCGCGAGGCUAAGCUAAUCUCUUAAAGCUUCUCUCAGUUCGGAUUGUAGGCUGCAACUCGCCUACAUGAAGCCGGAAUCGCUAGUAAUCGCGGAUCAGCACGCCGCGGUGAAUACGUUCCCGGGCCUUGUACACACCGCCCGUCACACCACGAGAGUUUGUAACACCCGAAGUCGGUUGA
This 575-nucleotide ribosomal RNA is filed under the name Enterococcus durans. Its description in RNAcentral is "bacterial SSU rRNA". It matches the Rfam family "Bacterial small subunit ribosomal RNA", at positions 858 to 1434 of the family's 1533-position model. Lineage: Bacteria; Bacillati; Bacillota; Bacilli; Lactobacillales; Enterococcaceae. The record is from RNAcentral.